GCUGGCGGCAGGCCUAACACAUGCAAGUCGAACGCUCGUAGCAAUACGAGAGUGGCAGACGGGUGAGUAACACGUGGGAACCUUCCCUAUGGUUCGGAAUAGCCCAGGGAAACUUGGGGUAAUACCGGAUAAGCCCUUACGGGGAAAGAUUUAUCGCCAUUGGAUGGGCCCGCGUCGGAUUAGCUAGUUGGUGGGGUAACGGCUCACCAAGGCGACGAUCCGUAGCUGGUCUGAGAGGAUGAUCAGCCACACUGGGACUGAGACACGGCCCAGACUCCUACGGGAGGCAGCAGUGGGGAAUAUUGGACAAUGGGCGCAAGCCUGAUCCAGCCAUGCCGCGUGAGUGACGAAGGCCUUAGGGUUGUAAAGCUCUUUUGGCGGGGAAGAUAAUGACGGUACCCGCAGAAUAAGCUCCGGCUAACUUCGUGCCAGCAGCCCGCGGUAAUACGAAGGGAGCUAGCGUUGUUCGGAAUCACUGGGCGUAAAGCGCACGUAGGCGGAUGUGUCAGUCAGGGGGUGAAAUCCC
RNAcentral lists this ribosomal RNA (526 nucleotides) under uncultured soil bacterium. Its description in RNAcentral is "bacterial SSU rRNA". It matches the Rfam family "Bacterial small subunit ribosomal RNA", at positions 35 to 604 of the family's 1533-position model. The record is from RNAcentral.